AGUUUUGCCCCAAAUUUGACACGGUUUUCAUAAAUUCAGACAUAUAUAUAUAGCUGUACUUUAUCCUUCUGAUCACGUAGACACACGAAUCAGGAUUUACCCCUGUUUUUAUUUCGGCCCACAUGUUAGUGAGAAGUUCACAUGGCACGUAAAAACCGAUUGAUCACGACUUGCUACGAGACAUCCCACGUAAAAAAAUACACCAUUUGCUUUACGACAGCUUUGCGUGUUUGCGAAAAGUGUUAUUAAUUCAAGAACUUCUUUAAAAAAACUGGUACAAGAAAAGCACAUAAUGUCUUUUAAAUCAGAAAACGUGGUGUAAACCGAAAAUUGGCUCCAAAUUUGCCUGAGGGAGUCUGGAAACAGACAAAAACUUGGUUGCCAUAGAGAUCUCGAAUCACUUGAAAUAAGCUUGGGAAAAUUCACAAAUUGUGGUCAAAUUGUUUAAAACAUGAUGCUAAACUAGAAUAUCUGGUGUGGAAAACAAAAAUCAUUUAUUGAGGAAAAUCCGACGUCUUCCUCUCGUUUCUGGGGACACUGACGGGGUUAUCAUGCCCUGAUUGUUAAUUAUGCAACUUGUUUGACUGAAAACUAAUACGAAACUAUGAUAUCAACCACAUUACACUUAUAAGCAUUUUAAACAAAAAUGUUGAAGAUUAACGAAAAAAAUGGUGCAGUUGUUCAAGUUACCGUCGACCAUAACAUGUUUUCGCUUUCCUCACUAGGGGGGCGCUAAUACAUCGUUACAACAUCCCCUACAACAUUGCACAGCUCUUAGCCAUCAGGUUCCUAUUAAAGGGUAAACUCGACAGCCAUGACAGGGACAUUCGUGGACUUGGGAAAGGAAUAAAAAGGUUCAUAUUGAAGCGUAAGUCCAUCAACCACUGCAGUGGCAUUCAUGGACUCGGAAGAGAAAUAAAAAGGUAUGUCUAAGCAUUGCUGACCAGGAAAGGUGACAAAUUUGUUGGAGUGAAGUCGAGAUAUAGCGCGAGCGCAGUUUACUUUUGUAAAAGUUUUCAUUUCAGAGAGGUUGAAUGGAAAUACCCUUCUAAUUUACAUACUAAGUCCAAUCAAUUUUAGAUUUGUCGUUAUGGUUUUUAAAAUAAUUUGAAUCUGUCCCUUGCAGCGACCAUAGUCGCUUCGGAAGAUAGUUUUUCGUCCAGUGCCGGCAAGACGGUUUAUUAAUUAUUUAUAUUUAAUUUGCACCGUCCGGAUUUUUAUAGAACUUUAUAACAUGAUUGUUCUCAGCACCGACAGAUUUUUUUCCCCUAAGAUUCACCAAAAGAGGUCUCAAUGCUCACCCUAUGCAAGGCUCGUCUUAAUAAUUUUGCUUUUUGAUUAAAUACCCUGCAAAU
This is a long non-coding RNA of Orbicella faveolata, 1355 nucleotides long. The record is from RefSeq and is a predicted model, not a curated record. Lineage: Eukaryota; Metazoa; Cnidaria; Anthozoa; Scleractinia; Merulinidae.